Molecule: long non-coding RNA, 459 nt
Filed under: Nicotiana tabacum (common tobacco)
Lineage: Eukaryota; Viridiplantae; Streptophyta; Magnoliopsida; Solanales; Solanaceae
Description: long non-coding RNA (NTAB_LNC018945)
Source: RNAcentral
AGAAAAUUCGUCCUCAAAUUUCGACCUUGCAAGAAAAAGAAAACAUGCACUAGUAAAUGGUAUCCACUAAUCUGAAAAAAUAGUAGGAAUAAAAUAAGAUAGUGACAAUGUGUCCAUUUAAUCCAAUCAAUCCUAAUAGGUAUAAAUACUCCCUUAUAAAGCAUAUGGACAUCAUCAUACCAAUAAAAUUUAUGUCUACCUAGAUUAAUACAAUAAAAACCUCUCUUAGAUGCACCAUGCAAUGGAACUUGCAAUUCGAUCUUGUCGGUACGGCAGUCCAUGAGUAUACAUGACAAAGAAAUUAUAAAAGAGUGACUACACAUCCAUUUAAUAUAAGUACCUUUACCACAUUUAUCAAACAAGAUACAUUCAUGAUAUAGACUACUAACUACAAUUACAAAUCUCAUGGACUCCUCUACAUGAAAGAGUAUUUAAUCACCAGUAUUACAACAAUCAUGC